GAUGGUGUAGCUCAGGGGUAGAGUUCAUGCUUAGCAUGCAUAAGGUCCUGGGUUCAAUCCCCAAUACCUCCG
RNAcentral lists this transfer RNA (72 nucleotides) under Camelus bactrianus (Bactrian camel). It matches the Rfam family "tRNA". Rfam says of the family: Transfer RNA (tRNA) molecules are approximately 80 nucleotides in length. Their secondary structure includes four short double-helical elements and three loops (D, anti-codon, and T loops). Further hydrogen bonds mediate the characteristic L-shaped molecular structure. tRNAs have two regions of fundamental functional importance: the anti-codon, which is responsible for specific mRNA codon recognition, and the 3' end, to which the tRNAs corresponding amino acid is attached (by aminoacyl-tRNA synthetases). tRNAs cope with the degeneracy of the genetic code in two manners: having more than one tRNA (with a specific anti-codon) for a particular amino acid; and 'wobble' base-pairing, i.e. permitting non-standard base-pairing at the 3rd anti-codon position. The record is from Rfam by way of RNAcentral. Lineage: Eukaryota; Metazoa; Chordata; Mammalia; Artiodactyla; Camelidae. RNAcentral also lists the same sequence under 2 other names.